UUAAUUAAAACCAAAUUUGAGGUAUAUCAUUGUUAAUGAUAGCAUUGAUUUAAAAGUCUAAUUAAA
RNAcentral lists this transfer RNA (66 nucleotides) under Limnephilus rhombicus. Its description in RNAcentral is "tRNA-Asn". Lineage: Eukaryota; Metazoa; Arthropoda; Insecta; Trichoptera; Limnephilidae. The record is from RNAcentral.